RNAcentral lists this ribosomal RNA (252 nucleotides) under uncultured bacterium. RNAcentral's name for it is "partial 16S ribosomal RNA". It matches the Rfam family "Bacterial small subunit ribosomal RNA", at positions 524 to 776 of the family's 1533-position model. The record is from RNAcentral.
UACGAAGGGGGCUAGCGUUGCUCGGAAUCACUGGGCGUAAAGCGCACGUAGGCGGCUCUUUAAGUCAGGGGUGAAAUCCUGGAGCUCAACUCAGAACUGCCUUUGAUACUGAGGGGCUUGAGUCCGGGAGAGGUGAGUGGAACUGCGAGUGUAGAGGUGAAAUUCGUAGAUAUUCGCAAGAACACCAGUGGCGAAGGCGGCUCACUGGCCCGGUACUGACGCUGAGGUGCGAAAGCGUGGGGAGCAAACAGG